UUGGAAUCCAGAUCGUGUCACCUCCUCUCGCUGAGCUGGAUCAUCCAGCGAGCUACCUGCUCUCUUGGGUUUAGCUGGGCCGGUGGCGGACAGAUGGAGGAAAGAGACGAAGAGAGGGCCUUUUUUUUAUUUUAUUUUUAAACAGAGAAGCAACCUUCCAUUGGAAGGAAAAUUCCUCUCUCUCUUCGUUCGGUUGCGUUGUGUAUACGGGGGGGGAUAUAGAUUAUAUAUCUUGUGAAAGAGAGAAGAAGAGAAGAGGAGGAGAAGAAACUGAAAGCCAAGAUGGACCCGCCGACCUUGCAGGAGAUGUCGUACUACGAGCACAUCCAGAGGCGCAACGAGGAUAAGGGCUGCCUCUACGCUUGCUUGUUCGCACUGUGCUGCUGCUUCUGCUGCUAUGAGACCUGCGAGUGCUGCCUAGACUGCCUCUGCUGCUGCUGCAAUUAACCAUGCAGAAAGAACGUGGAAUAAUAUAAUAUAAUACCAAAAUGCCCUCUCUCUCUUCUGCAUUUGGAGUUUGAAGUGUUCUGUCUAAAAUAAAAUAUGUAGCUCUGAUGUGGAUUACUUGCUUACAUUGUUUUGCGUAUCUCCAAGAAUGUCGUGAAGAAUGCUCCUUUGUAUUUUAUACUAGAACUCGUAAUAUAUUAGUGUGUAUUUUGCAUUCCUUUGCCGCAU
This is a long non-coding RNA of Elaeis guineensis (African oil palm), 675 nucleotides long. RefSeq lists it as uncharacterized. NCBI's taxonomy places the organism in Eukaryota, Viridiplantae, Streptophyta, Magnoliopsida, Arecales, Arecaceae. The record is from RefSeq and is a predicted model, not a curated record.